UCUUCCUAAGGAGGCAGCAGUAGGGAAUUUUCGGCAAUGGGGGGAACCCUGACCGAGCAACGCCGCGUGAAGGAAGAAGGAAUUCGUUCUGUAAACUUCUGUUAUAAAGGAAGAAAGACGGAUGGAGGAAAUGACAUCCGAGUGACGGUACUUUAUGAGAAAGCCACGGCUAACUACGUGCCAGCAGCCGCGGUAAUACGUAGGUGGCAAGCGUUAUCCGGAAUUAUUGGGCGUAAAGAGGGAGCAGGCGGCAGCAAAGGUCUGUGGUGAAAGACUGAUGCUUAACUUCAGUAAGCCAUAGAAAC
This 305-nucleotide ribosomal RNA is filed under the name uncultured bacterium. RNAcentral's name for it is "bacterial SSU rRNA". It matches the Rfam family "Bacterial small subunit ribosomal RNA", at positions 335 to 633 of the family's 1533-position model. The record is from RNAcentral.